RNAcentral lists this transfer RNA (75 nucleotides) under Marmota monax (woodchuck). Its description in RNAcentral is "tRNA.Val". The record is from RNAcentral. Lineage: Eukaryota; Metazoa; Chordata; Mammalia; Rodentia; Sciuridae.
GGGGUUGUAGCUCAAUGGUAGAGCAAGUACUUGCCUCACAUGUAUGAGGCACUAGGUUCAAUCCUUAGCACCACA